This 492-nucleotide ribosomal RNA is filed under the name uncultured bacterium. RNAcentral describes it as "partial 16S ribosomal RNA". It matches the Rfam family "Bacterial small subunit ribosomal RNA", at positions 29 to 507 of the family's 1533-position model. The record is from RNAcentral.
AGUGAACGCUGGCGGUAGGCCUAACACAUGCAAGUCGAACGGCAGCACAGUAAGAGCUUGCUCUUACGGGUUGCUAGUGGCGGACGGGUGAGGAAUACAUCGGAAUCUACUUUUUCGUGGGGGAUAACGUAGGGAAACUUACGCUAAUACCUCAUACUACCUACGGGUGAAAGCAUGGUAUCUUCGGACCUUGCGCGAUUUAAUGAGCCGAUGUCGGAUUAGCUAGUUGGCGGGGUAAAGGCCCACCAAGGCGACGAUCCGUAGCUGGUCUGAGAGGAUGAUGAGCAAAACUGGAACUGAGACACGGUCAAGACUCCUACGGGAGGAAGAAGUGGGGAAUAUUGGAAAAUGGGCGAAAGCCUGAUCAAGAAAUACCGCGUGGGUGAAGAAGGCCUUCGGGUUGAAAAGCCCGUUUGUUGGGAAAGAAAAGCAGCAGGGUAAUAACCCGAUGUUCUGACGGUACCCAAAGAAUAAGCAACGGCUAACUUCGUG